GGAAAUCUCCGUAAUCUUGACUAUGGCAUGAUUAACAAGUAAAGUUAAAAGUUGAUGUCAAGCACUCUAAUUAAUAGAAACAGACUUUGAAUGGAUUGGAAAAAGCUGUGUUUAAUGCAAAUUCAUUGCCCUACCAUAACUUGAUCGGCUUACCCAAAAAGCUCCAUAUAUGAAAUGCAUAUAUGUCUUCCAAAAUUACUUUAGAAUAAUUGAAUGGAUUAAAAUUUGAAGUUGGAUAAUAUACAAAUAAGGCAAAAUUUUA
Dendroctonus ponderosae (mountain pine beetle) is the source of this 262-nucleotide long non-coding RNA. RefSeq lists it as uncharacterized. The record is from RefSeq and is a predicted model, not a curated record. NCBI's taxonomy places the organism in Eukaryota, Metazoa, Arthropoda, Insecta, Coleoptera, Curculionidae. The transcript is spliced from 2 exons.